RNAcentral lists this ribosomal RNA (246 nucleotides) under uncultured bacterium. Its description in RNAcentral is "partial small subunit ribosomal RNA". It matches the Rfam family "Bacterial small subunit ribosomal RNA", at positions 26 to 285 of the family's 1533-position model. The record is from RNAcentral.
AGAAUCAACGCUGGCGGCGUGCCUAACACAUGCAAGUCGAACGAGAACGGGUAGCAAUACCUUAGUAAAGUGGCGCACGGGUGAGUAACACGUGACUAACCUACCCUGGAGUGGGGGAUAACUGAGAGAAAAUCUUAGCUAAUACCGCAUAACACCUACGGGUCAAAGGAGCAAUUCGCUUCAGGAGGGGGUCGCGGCAGAUUAGAUAGUUGGCGGGGUAAUGGCCCACCAAGUCAGUGAUCUGUA